GCUGAUGUGGCUCAGUCGGUAGAGCAAUUGAUUCGUAAUCAAUAGGUCGCCGGUUCAAGUCCGGCCAUCAGCUCCA
Molecule: transfer RNA, 76 nt
Filed under: Clostridia bacterium
Lineage: Bacteria; Bacillati; Bacillota; Clostridia
Description: tRNA-Thr
Rfam family: tRNA
About the family: Transfer RNA (tRNA) molecules are approximately 80 nucleotides in length. Their secondary structure includes four short double-helical elements and three loops (D, anti-codon, and T loops). Further hydrogen bonds mediate the characteristic L-shaped molecular structure. tRNAs have two regions of fundamental functional importance: the anti-codon, which is responsible for specific mRNA codon recognition, and the 3' end, to which the tRNAs corresponding amino acid is attached (by aminoacyl-tRNA synthetases). tRNAs cope with the degeneracy of the genetic code in two manners: having more than one tRNA (with a specific anti-codon) for a particular amino acid; and 'wobble' base-pairing, i.e. permitting non-standard base-pairing at the 3rd anti-codon position.
Source: RNAcentral